RNAcentral lists this ribosomal RNA (497 nucleotides) under uncultured bacterium. RNAcentral's name for it is "partial 16S ribosomal RNA". It matches the Rfam family "Bacterial small subunit ribosomal RNA", at positions 28 to 507 of the family's 1533-position model. The record is from RNAcentral.
GAUGAACGCUGUCGGCGUGCCUAAUACAUGCAAGUCGAGCGAACAGACGAGGAGCUUGCUCCUCUGAUGUUAUCGGCGGACGGGUGAGUCACACUUGGAUCACCUACCUAUAAGACUGGGAUAACUUCGUGACACCGGCGCUAAUACCGGAUAACAUGUUGAACCGCAUGGUUCAACAGUGAAAGACGUUCUUGCUGUCACUUCUAGAUGGAUCCGCGCCGCAUUAGCUAGUUGGUAAGGUAACGGCUUACCAAGGCAACGAUGCGUAGCCGACCUGAGAGGGUCAUCGAGCACACUGGAACUGAGACACGGUCCAGACUAAGAAGAGAGGCAGCAGAAUGAGAUCUGCGGAAAGGAGCUAAAGGCUGACAGAGGAAUGCCGGGUGAGUGAAUAAAGUGUAGGGAAUGUAAAACACAGGUAGUAGGAAAGAACAAAGAUGAGAGUAACUAUGUACGUUAGGACGGGACACAAUCAGAAAUGCAGGGCUAACUACAGG